Long non-coding RNA from Lagopus muta (rock ptarmigan), 310 nucleotides. RefSeq lists it as uncharacterized. The record is from RefSeq and is a predicted model, not a curated record. The transcript is spliced from 3 exons. Lineage: Eukaryota; Metazoa; Chordata; Aves; Galliformes; Phasianidae.
GUCAGAGUUUUGUGCUAGGAAGAGGAAUGGGGACUGUGGAAGGAAAUGUGGAUGACAGCAUGGUGUUCCAGAAUUACUGAAUGUGUUUUACCUGCAGUGAAGAUGCACCAACUGUUUGUUCUCUGCAACACAUGAUGAGGUGCUAACUGCAAUCAGUUUUAACUUUCACGUUGCAAUCUGGCAUAUGUGGAUAUCGACACAUCUGUUUUGAGCAUGUAUUUUGGAGAACAAAGUAUGAUAUGUCUGUGCUGGUUGCCAGCCUCAAGACCUGGCACUCGGGUUUACAGAGGGCUUUGGGUGCAUCAGGCUU